GUGAGGAAUAUUGGACAAUGGGCGCAAGCCUGAUCCAGCCAUGCCGCGUGCAGGAAGACGCAUCUAUGGUGUGUAAACUGCUUUUGUACGGGAAGAAACACUCCCUCGUGAGGGAGCUUGACGGUACCGUAAGAAUAAGGAUCGGCUAACUCCGUGCCAGCAGCCGCGGUAAUACGGAGGAUCCAAGCGUUAUCCGGAAUCAUUGGGUUUAAAGGGUCCGUAGGCGGUUGAAUAAGUCAGUGGUGAAAGCCCAUCGCUCAACGAUGGAACGGCCAUUGAUACUGUUAGACUUGAAUUACAAGGAAGUAACUAGAAUAUGUAGUGUAGCGGUGAAAUGCUUAGAUAUUACAUGGAAUACCAAUUGCGAAGGCAGGUUACUACUUGUGGAUUGACGCUGAUGGACGAAAGCGUGGGGAGCGAACAGGAUUAGAUACCCGUGUAGUCC
RNAcentral lists this ribosomal RNA (445 nucleotides) under uncultured bacterium. RNAcentral's name for it is "partial 16S ribosomal RNA". It matches the Rfam family "Bacterial small subunit ribosomal RNA", at positions 354 to 796 of the family's 1533-position model. The record is from RNAcentral.